This is a non-coding RNA of Dermacentor andersoni, 207 nucleotides long. Lineage: Eukaryota; Metazoa; Arthropoda; Arachnida; Ixodida; Ixodidae. The record is from RefSeq and is a predicted model, not a curated record.
AAGAAGCCACCAUUCCACUAUUGGCAGCCUACUUCAAGGAUGAUCCAGAUGAUCUGUUUCGUGUUCUUGAAGAAGGUACAAGCAUCACGGAAGUGAUGGACGAGUUUCCAUCUACACCAGUUGUGGUUUCAUUAGGAGGCAUCUUUGAGAAGAAAUGUUUUGUUGUUUGCGAGCAGCAGCUGUUGUUUACGGAGAGCACUGGCUUCA